Molecule: ribosomal RNA, 606 nt
Filed under: Scherotheca brevisella
Lineage: Eukaryota; Metazoa; Annelida; Clitellata; Crassiclitellata; Lumbricidae
Description: partial large subunit ribosomal RNA
Rfam family: Bacterial large subunit ribosomal RNA
Source: RNAcentral
CCUGCCCAGUGACUAACGUUCAACGGCCGCGGUAUCCUACCCGUGCAAAGGUAGCAUAAUCAUUUGCCCAUUAAUUGUGGGCUAGAAUGAACGGAUUAGCGAAAUAAAGACUGUCUCUAUAAGACGUUUAAAAAUUAAUCUCUAACUGAAGACUGUUAGAUAAAAUCGAAGGACAAGAAGACCCUAUAGAGCUUUAUCCUAUAAAAAAAUUAAAAUUCUUUUACGGAUUUGGUUGGGGCGACCGGGGAAAAUAUUUAUCAUCCCCAUUUAAUAGAUAUAUAAAUCUCAAUUAUGACCCUUAGCAAAGAUCACAAGACUAAGCUACCUUAGGGAUAACAGGCUAAUCUCACUAAAGAGUCCUUAUCAAUAGUGAGGUUUGGCACCUCGAUGUUGGCUUAGGGAAUCUAUGUGACGCAAAAGUCAUAUGAAGAUGGUUUGUUCAACCAAUAAUUCCCUACAUGAGCUGAGUUCAGACCGGCGUAAGCCAGGUUAGUUUCUAUCCUCGAUAUAAUGACCUAUUUAUAGUACGAAAGGACCUAAAUAAGGAUAAUAAUUAUACAUAAAGAAUAAAUAUAACAUAAAUUUAAAUAUAUUUUCCAUAAAAUA